Molecule: ribosomal RNA, 1393 nt
Filed under: Neopyrenochaeta acicola
Lineage: Eukaryota; Fungi; Ascomycota; Dothideomycetes; Pleosporales; Neopyrenochaetaceae
Description: eukaryotic LSU rRNA
Rfam family: Eukaryotic large subunit ribosomal RNA
Source: RNAcentral
ACUAGCAUAUCAAUAAGCGGAGGAAAAGAAACCAACAGGGAUUGCCCUAGUAACGGCGAGUGAAGCGGCAUCAGCUCAAAUUUGAAAUCUGGCUCUUUCAGGGUCCGAGUUGUAAUUUGCAGAGGGAGCUUUCGAGUUGGCAGCGGUCUAAGUUCCUUGGAACAGGACGUCACAGAGGGUGAGAAUCCCGUACGUGGUCGCAGGCCUUCUCGAGGUAAAGCCCCUUCGACGAGUCGAGUUGUUUGGGAAUGCAGCUCUAAAUGGGAGGUAAAUUUCUUCUAAAGCUAAAUACUGGCCAGAGACCGAUAGCGCACAAGUAGAGUGAUCGAAAGAUGAAAAGCACUUUGGAAAGAGAGUCAAAUAGCACGUGAAAUUGUUGAAAGGGAAGCGCUUGCAGCCAGACUUGCCUGUAGUUGCUCAUCCGGGCUUUUGCCCGGUGCACUCUUCUAUAGGCAGGCCAGCAUCAGUUUGGGCGGUUGGAUAAAGGUCUCUGUCACGUACCUCCUCUCGGGGAGGCCUUAUAGGGGAGACGACAUGCAACCAGCCUGGACUGAGGUCCGCGCAUCUGCUAGGAUGCUGGCGUAAUGGCUGUAAGCGGCCCGUCUUGAAACACGGACCAAGGAGUCUAACAUCUAUGCGAGUGUUUGGGUGUCAAGCCCGAGCGCGCAAUGAAAGUGAACGGAGGUGGGAUCCCUUAAGGGUGCACCAUCGACCGAUCCUGAAGUCUUCGGAUGGAUUUGAGUAAGAGCAUGGCUGUUGGGACCCGAAAGAUGGUGAACUAUGCUUGAAUAGGGUGAAGCCAGAGGAAACUCUGGUGGAGGCUCGCAGCGGUUCUGACGUGCAAAUCGAUCGUCAAAUUUGGGCAUAGGGGCGAAAGACUAAUCGAACUAUCUAGUAGCUGGUUCCUGCCGAAGUUUCCCUCAGGAUAGCAGUAACGUAUUCAGUUUUAUGAGGUAAAGCGAAUGAUUAGAGGCCUGGGGGUUGAAACAACCUUCACCUAUUCUCAAACUUUAAAUAUGUAAGAAGUCCUUGUUACUUAAUUGAACGUGGACACUUGAAUGUACCGUUACUAGUGGGCCAUUUUUGGUAAGCAGAACUGGCGAUGCGGGAUGAACCGAACGCGGGGUUAAGGUGCCAGAAUAUACGCUCAUCAGACACCACAAAAGGUGUUAGUUCAUCUAGACAGCAGGACGGUGGCCAUGGAAGUCGGAAUCCGCUAAGGAGUGUGUAACAACUCACCUGCCGAAUGAACUAGCCCUGAAAAUGGAUGGCGCUCAAGCGUAUUACCCAUACCCCGCCGCCGGGGCAAGAUUUAAGCCCCGGCGAGUAGGCAGGCGUGGAGGCUCGUGACGAAGCCUUGGGGGUGACCCCGGGUCGAACGGCCUCUAGUGCA